UAGGGAAUAUUGCGCAAUGGGCGAAAGCCUGACGCAGCAAUACCGCGUGAGUGAGGAAGGUCUUCGGAUUGUAAAGCUCUGUCGGGAUGGAAAAAUGGCGUAGGAUCUAAUAGGUCUUACGAUUGAUGGUACAUCCAAAGGAAGCACCGGCUAACUUCGUGCCAGCAGCCGCGGUAAUACGAAGGGUGCAAGCGUUGUUCGGAUUUAUUGGGCGUAAAGCGCGCGCAGGCGGGUCAUUAAGUCAGAUGUGAAAUCUCAGGGCUCAACCCUGAAACUGCGUCUGAAACUGAUAAUCUAGAAUGUCGGAGAGGGAAGGGGAAUUUCACAUGUAGGGGUAAAAUCCGUAGAUAUGUGAAGGAAUACCAGAGGCGAAGGCGCCUUCCUGGACGAUGAUUGACGCUGAGGCGCGAAAGCGUGGGGAGCAAACA
Molecule: ribosomal RNA, 428 nt
Filed under: uncultured bacterium
Lineage: Bacteria
Description: bacterial SSU rRNA
Rfam family: Bacterial small subunit ribosomal RNA
Source: RNAcentral